Molecule: ribosomal RNA, 492 nt
Filed under: uncultured bacterium
Lineage: Bacteria
Description: partial 16S ribosomal RNA
Rfam family: Bacterial small subunit ribosomal RNA
Source: RNAcentral
AUUGAACGCUGGCGGCAUGCCUUACACAUGCAAGUCGAACGGCAGCACGGUAGGAUGUAGCUGUUACGGAGUGGGAGAGGGGGGCGUGUUAGAUAGACACAGGAACUGACGUGGGCGAGAGGGAGACGGUAGGCGGAUUAAUACCACAACCGCUCACCAGCUACGGGCGAAAGAAGGUGGGGCUCCGAGCUUGCGGGAUUGACGGAGGCGAUGUCGGAUUAGCUAGUUGGCGGGGUAAAGGCCCACCAAGGCGACGAUCCGUAGCUGGUCUGAGAGGAGGACCAGCCACACUGGGACUGAGACACGGUCCAGACUCCUACGGGAGGCAGCAGUGGGGAAUAUUGGACAAUGGGCGAAAGCCUGAUCCAGCAAUGCCGCGUGUGUGAAGAAGGCCUUCGGGUUGUAAAGCACUUUUGUUCGGAAAGAAAACCAGGGCCUUAAUACCGUCGUGUGAUGACGGUACCGAAAGAAUAAGCACCGGCUAACUACGUG